Molecule: long non-coding RNA, 1381 nt
Organism: Oreochromis aureus
Lineage: Eukaryota; Metazoa; Chordata; Actinopteri; Cichliformes; Cichlidae
Source: Ensembl
GUUACUGAAGAUUUCCAGAACAUCCUAAAGGUUUGUGUUUCAUAGGGUGACUGUGGAGGUCGUCUGAUCGCAGUGAAUUCAUAAUGUUAAAGAAAAGGUUUGAAAUCAGUGGUGUGUUAUCUAGCUGGAAGCAGCCAUCAGCAGAUGUGGUCUGAAAGAGACGGACAAGAUCAGCAAGAACACUGAGCGAGGUAACAUCCAGUCAAAGACACCGCCUGUCGAUGCUCAGCUCUUUUAUUUUUCUAAAAGAGGAAACAACACAAAGCAGCGAGGUUAAAGAGGUCAAAGAGCAAGGAGAGAGGUCAGCCAACUAUCGGAGUUGCAGAAAGGUGCGACAAAGAAGGUGCCUAAGAAGUACAGCAAGCUGUCCAUACCUGAGGCCUUGGAAACUGCCAAGCAACGACUCACAGCCUUGGCCAGCCGCUUGAAGAGGUACACCAGAGAGAUCGAAGGCAGGAGAAUAAACCAGCUGUUCUCCACAGAACCAGCCAAGGUGUACUCUCAGUGGCAGGGGAACAACAUGAGAACAGCACCACCAAGGCUGGAGAUUGAGCAAUACUGGAAGAAGGACACAGCCCAUAACUGCAACGCUCGGUGGCUAGUGGAUCUGAGAGGAGACCACAGCAACCUCCCUGAACAGGGUCCAGUAACCAUCACAGUGGCAGAUAUCCAAGAAAGGGUCUCCAGUAUGAAGAGUUGGACAGCACCAGGCCCUGACAUGGUUCAUGCCUACUGGCUGAAGAAGCUGACUGCACUCCACGAGCGCCUGGCAGCACAAAUGAAUUGGCUGCUAGCUGCCGAGAGACAACCAGAAUGGCUAACCGAAGACUGGACAGUCCUGGUUCUCAAGGACUCCCAGAAGGGACCGGUCCCCUCCAACUACCAACCAAUAACCUGCCUCAGCACCACGUGGAAGCUCCUGUCAGGCAUCAUAGCGGCAAAGAUGAAGAGGCACAUGGGUCAAUACAUUACUGCACAGAAAGGACCAAGCAGUCAGCAAGACUAGGCUGACCAACCAGUGCACUGCCUGGAUUGAUUACAAGAAGGCCGAUGACUCAAUGCCCCGCACCUGGAUCCUGGAAUGAUCAACAGGACCCUAAAAGCCUUCAUCAGGAACUCAAUGGGGAUGUGGCGUACAACACUAGAGGCCAACUUCAAGCCCACAGCACAAGUCACCAUCAAGUGCGGGAUCUACCAAGGAGAUGCUCUGUCCCCACUGUCUCCCCCCAAAAAUUAUUUAUUUUUAUUGGAUUGCCUUAUUCUGUCUGAGUCAAUGUUUUAUUUUAUUGUGAGUGGGAGCAGCUGGUAACAAUUAUUAAUUAAUUUCAUUCAGGAUUAAUAAUUAAUAAAAUGUUUUCUGAAACUAAAUUUAAAAAAGAGG